AUGUAUAAAUGGCUGGAAAAUCCUCUUAGUGGCUGUCACUACAGAUGGAUUUGGAAGGCUAAAAGCCCCCUCAAAAUAGAAAAUUCCCUCUGGCAGUUAUCUCAUGAUGCUGUUUUGACUAGACAGGUCAUGAAGGAGAGGAGAUGGCCUGGGAACCCCAAGUGCUCUUUUUGUAAUGAUCUAGAAUCAUCUCCACAUUUGUUUUUCACAUGUCCUGUGGCUAGAGUUGUUUGGCGAUGCGUUGGGAUGGCGUUGGGUACUGAUAUGUGCCCGAGCAGUUACUGGCAGUAUUUCUCCUGGUGCCACACGUUCCUCCCUGGAGGGAAUUACCAUACUGUGGGCCUCGCUGCCACUUGCUGGGCCAUCUGGCUAGCUCAGAACCGAGCUACCUUUGAAUAAAAGCAGAUCAAAACACCCUUUGAGAUUGCUUUCUCCAUGUGUUCCUUUUUGUUGUAUUGGGCAGGUCUGCAACAAGGGGAAGGAGUCAAGGAGUUGCGCAGCGGGGCGGAGUUGGUCAGGUCGAGCACGGUGAGUUUGAAGAAGAUGUGCGAUGCUGCGAGGAGACCAAUCGAAGGGGAAUGA
Molecule: ribosomal RNA, 582 nt
Filed under: Triticum aestivum (bread wheat)
Lineage: Eukaryota; Viridiplantae; Streptophyta; Magnoliopsida; Poales; Poaceae
Description: partial small subunit ribosomal RNA
Source: RNAcentral